UAGAAUACAGUGGAGGAUCGCCAGUUAC
RNAcentral lists this small RNA (28 nucleotides) under Bombyx mori (domestic silkworm). RNAcentral's name for it is "ovarian small RNA-21831". Lineage: Eukaryota; Metazoa; Arthropoda; Insecta; Lepidoptera; Bombycidae. The record is from RNAcentral.